Molecule: long non-coding RNA, 205 nt
Filed under: Nicotiana benthamiana
Lineage: Eukaryota; Viridiplantae; Streptophyta; Magnoliopsida; Solanales; Solanaceae
Description: long non-coding RNA (NBEN_LNC036133)
Source: RNAcentral
AGUAGAAUUCUCAAUGGAAUGAGAGUCUGUCUUACCUUCCUUUCCAACCAUAAUGAUCUCACCUUUCUUUCCAUUUUCAAAGGAUACAUUACCUCCUUUUAGGUUCUCAAGUGAAAGGAACUGGUCCUUGUUCCCAGUCAUGUGUUUUGAGAAGCCACUAUCCAUGUACAAUAUUUGGCUACUCCCUUUCAAUUGAACAUGCAGA